UUGGCAAAUAGGAAUGCUCCUCACUGGAGUACAGGACAGUCAACUGCCAUGCUGCUCAUGCGGACACAACCUUCGUUCACAAUUGGACAUGCUCAAACCUGACAUUCAUAACCAUGUUAGUGGUAAGCAAGUCAAUCAGACAGCAUCACGCAAGUCUGCCAGUGUGACCUGAGAGUUUCACAUUGGUCAAAUAGUAUCUGUUCACAACGAUCAUGUUAAUGCUUGUUGGGCCAAACAUGGUGUUGGGCACCAAACAAGAUGUAGUACAGACACGUAGAUCAACUCAUCAACUCGGACACUGCAAGGGAAUUAACCAUCUUGUUCCAGAGAUAUGCUUCCAACAGAUCCAGUAGUUCAUGUAACCUGUAUCAUCACCGGCUAAGCCAGAGCAAGUACUUCCACAAGAAACACAGACUCCAGCAGAAUCACCAACGUAAGCAAUCCCUGGACCGGAGUAGCAGGGCACCGCUACUCAACUCGCAAUUGCAGACCCGCAGAUAAACUUAAUCUUUGAUAAUCAAACAAAACCUUUAAAAAACUCAGCAGACAUUGUUUGAAGGUUUAGUUCUUAAGGUUUUAUUCACACCUCUUCAUAAGUCCAGAGACCAGCAUAUUAUGUAUUAGGCGAAGAGAAAAACAAAGUGUAAACUGUUGAAAUCAAAAAACUUAAAUUGCCAUUUCAUCUCGGUUUCAUGCAGUAUAGACAUAAUACUAAUAUUUAUUAUAUUACAUAGCACAAAACGGGAUUUGCAAAUAAUUGCACCUGCCCCACUCACUUGCAUUACAUUUUAUUCAUUAGCCACCAUAGCUUGUUAACAUCUUCCUUAUUUAAAUUUCCUUAAAAUGUAAAAUAAUUAUCUAAAUGGUAAGGAGGAAUUGUAAUGUAUUGUGCAUAACUGGAAAUAUUCAAGUACUACAGCAUACAACUUGUAUAUAGUUGUAAGGGGAUGACCUAAUUCCAUGUGACCAUAAUAAAUAACUUUCUACAAUGUGGCAGCUCCCUUUGUCACAGUGACUGUCAAUUUCCCCAGUUAAUAACCCUACAAAUACACUACUUUUCAAUAAGUAAAUUUUUCAAUCUAUCUCGUAAUGACUCAUAAUGUACAGGACGAACAAGCUUGCAGUGUCAAGCAUGGUGCACAAGUGCCUCAUACCACCGCAGCUGAAUAUAAACUUCACCUUGUACUAAUUGAGUUGUAGGUCAUGUGACUUGAUUUUAUCACAUACAGCAUGCAGUUCUCCAAUACAUUUUUCGUGAACUUUUCUUCAAGUCCACUUGCUAGUGAUUGGCAAAUGUAACAGAUUUUGUAAAUUGUUUCCCACUGUGGUAAAGUAUGGAGGAAGGAAUGUCAUCUAUAAGGAAAGUAACUGUAAGAUCAGUCAGUAGAGAUUAGCAAAGUUGAAAGGAAUUCAACAAUUCCAUUUAUUGAUCGCUUUUCUGAGAGGCCUCGCCCCAUACUUGCUGACGUCGAUAUCUAGUAUGAAAUAAAAUGUUGUUCUCCAACAAAUAAAUAUGUACAGAAUCUGUAUUUGUGCUUUUACCAUGCAGUAUUAGGUCUUAAAUUUGUCUCUGUCACAUUGAUUUGCGUGAGGACACUGGUAUGCUUUAUUCAAAUGUAAGUCACUUGCCUCUUUUAUCACAAGCACAUCAUGAAUUUCUGUAAUAUACAUUUUUUUUAUCUAUUGAUUGUGAGUCCCAUCCGCAAAGAUUGGCAGAAGUAUGAAAUACAUCCUUUGAAUCAUUCGUCUUGUAAACCCCAUCUAUUCAGGAGUAGCUGCUCUCAACCACACCAGCAAAUCAGAAGUCAUUUCUCAAAUAAUCCCAUGUAAAACUUUAAUGUAAAGUUUACUUUCCUCAACAGCAUUUGUAGAAUUGUGUGAGAAAAAUGCUGUCACUUUUGUACUGCAGUUUGCAUACCAUACUUUCAGAUGGAUCCAGCAAGUGCUUUAAUUAUUCCUGUAACACUGAGGACUAAGGGGUGGAGGUCUGCACACAGAACUGGUGAUCAUGCAUCACUUUUUGAGGCGAGUUAAUGUGGAGGAAGAUUUGACAUUGAUGAGGAAUAUCUUUAAGGAAAUAGGAAGAUCAGGUUAGUUAUGCAUGUCUGAUUUUCAAGUGGCAAGGUGUUUCGUGACUUUCGCUCAGGCCUUCAAUAUUAUUGCCUCCAAAAACAAUCCACCUUGGUUCAUUGUGUACCGAGUUUGAAAGUUCACCUGUAAAGCCCUCGUAAUUUGGCACUAAACUCUUUAACCCCAAAGCACUGGCGACAGAAUUAGGCAUAGGUGCACCAGUUGCCCCCUACUUUUCAGACUGGGGGCACCCCCUGCCCACUUUUAGCAGGCCCUUUGAUGGGUUGGGACUUCUUCAAUCAGCCUAUUAAUAGCUGAAGCCUAAUGGUAUCACAGCUGGCCCCCCUCAUUUCAAUGCAGCACUGUUGCCUCAAAUAGAGUAUCAGGUUUUACUUCUGUGUUUCUUUGAUACUUUUUGUGAUUUUUUAAUUGACUGCAAAGUGCAUCAAAAUGUCCAGUUACUGCAGAGAUGCACUCCAGAUGAGAUGCCAGGUCUCUGAUCAUGACCAUGAUGGUAAAUUGGCUGUGUAUCUUCAUAAGCCUUCGUGCUAAGUGGUUGCGCUAUAACAUCAACUCACCAACAAGAUUCACCCAGUUUAAAACAAGAAGAAAAUUUUUAUUCUUUAGUGUACUUUAACAAUAACAACCUUGACAAUCAAUCAAUGGAUAAGUAGUUCUUUGAGAUCUCAAAUCAAAAAAAUGCACGUAGAAAAAAAUCUUCAACCGGUUGAGCUACAUUUCUAACCCUGAUAACAGUCAGUGUCCAAACACUAUAUGGAGGCUUAAGAAUCCACAGUUCAAUUCUUAUAUCCCAGAAUCCCUCAUCGACUUAGGUGGUGCACCAAGUCUCAUUUCGAGGAUCCGUGCAAGUUGUCUGGUGGUUCCUCGUCUGAAAUCAGGUACCACAAUGUAUGUCCGGUCCACACUGAUUGAACUGCACAGCCUUGCCUGUGGUUCCUGCUGACCAUAGUUCAGGUUAGAGGGUAGAGGUCAAUGGUCAAUCCAGGGUGGCCUCCCACUCAUCAGUUACAGUUCAACUUGACUGCCACGGGCCAGUCGUGAUGUGAUGUCUUGUGGCAACUCCACACUACACAGUAAUAUUGUUCUACACCAACCAUAUGUAGGUCAACAACGCUUGCAAUCACAAUCUGAGAGGGUGGAAACUGAGAGCCACAGGCUUAACUGGAACAAAAAUAACUAGCUUUAUAUUGGUAAAACUUUGACGUGACAAGAUGAGAUCACAUGAAAAACAUGGCAUCAAGCAAGCGAGUGAGCCAACAGGCACUCAUCACAAGAGGGCGCUAUACCAUUUUGCAGCGGGCUACAUCAUUGUAACCAUAGGUUAACAGUUUUCCUGUUGACCUUGACAUUUCUCUGUGUCUUGAAGGUUAGGCUUGCUGCACAUACAGUAAUCUCCUUGCAAAGAACGUUUCUUGUAACGAAUAUUGAUAAUCAUCUGUUUGUCUUUGCUUGUAGAUUAUGCUUGCUCAAGGAAGUGACAGUGCCUGAAAUCCACAAUGAUAGCUAACAUAGAGUUAAUUAUGAUAAAAAUGCUAGUUUUUAUUUUUAACGAAUGCUUUUGAGGAUUGAAUCAAUACUAAUAUUUCAGGAGAAUGAAAACUCAAAAGAUUUGGGAGUGUUGUGUUGUAUUCCCAGGGGAAGGGGAUCUCUUUCCCACCUGGGCCUAGUUAGCCCCAUCCUUGCUGUGGGCUGUGGUCCUGUGAAGAGGUUGUAAACUUGUUUCAGGACCAGGCAGAGUUUGCAAAACAUGCUUUGAGAUGGAUCUUUCAAGUGCUCCAAUGAUGCCUGUAACACUGAGGGACAGAUGACUGCAAACACAGAAAGGGUGAAUACGCUGUUGCAACUAAUAUACUUGAAGCAGAGGUGGCUAGUCAAGGAUUUUGCUGAAACCUAGGUACCAGAAGUGGGGAUGCACAGGAGAAAGUCUGACAGAUGACUGCCGACCCCAUUGGCUGUAUAUCACGUAUAAGUUUUUCUUGAGUACAGGAUCUGAAGCUAGACUUCUUGAAGAUGAAGAGACAGCUGAUGAGCCGAUGUGAGAGGACAGUAUCCCUGACAUUGUCAGGAGCCAGAAGCUGGGAGGAAGGACAUAUUACAGCACUGAUAAAUUGGGGACAAGUUUUGCACUGGGUCUUCACUAGACUGGAUUCCAAACAGUUAAAGAUGAAGGGAGAGUAUCCUUGCCAGCCUUCCAGGAUCCGGAAGCGGGGAGGAGGAACGACAGAUGACCAGUGACCCUACUUGCUGAGCGAGCCGUUUCUACUUUUUGAGCAAGUGCAUCAACCAGUCCGGGAAGUACUGCAGAGAUUAACUCUAGAUAUAAGAUUCCAGGUCUCUGAUCAAGCCUUUGAUGAUUCUGCUGGUCAAAGUAAGAGACAGAACUGAUACUUGAAUACCAACUGCAGAUCCAUCCCCCUCAGAUAGAGUUGCUGACUCAAGUCAUAUGACUUGGACUCGAGUUGCUAUUUUUGUGACUUGUGACUUGACUUGGACUUGCAAAAAAUGAAUAGUUACCAACUGAAGUCAGAUGCUACUCAACUGGCCCCAUGUAUUUUUAAUUAAACUAUUCAGUAAUUACGCCUUAUGUGCAAAAAAAAAAGGAAUUAGGCUUGCGCGGCUUCUAGUUCACCCAACUGUAGCUGUAGAUGCAUAUCGUGCUGAUACGUUGCCUUGCAUUGAUGCGUGACUGGGAUAAACAGCGUCCUCAAUACGUUGUCAUUGAAAAGCAAACGUAGUGGCUUCUAGCAGUGUUGUUCCACAGUUGGUUAGUUUCGUGUAUCUCGACUAUAAUACCACCGCAAGUAAACGGUCUGCUGUUUGUAAAAUAUGUGGAUCUACUGUCACUGAUGGCUCAAACACAAGAAGUAAUUUCGUGCGUCAUCUUAAAACCCACGACGAACAAUGAGUAGUAAUGUUGCGACUUUUUUGGGAAUGCGUAAAUAGGCCUAGGCCUACAUGAAAUAGAUUUUUGGCCAUUCAGGGCUGUAUGUCAUUGUUUUUAUAAUCUCUUGCUACAAAUGGCUAUUGAAUCUAAGUAACUGAAAAGCCUCUGGUACUUGAAAAUCUGCCCAAAACUAAAUGCACAUAUAUACUUAAUAAAUAAUAAUGCAAAAAAAUAAUUACAAAAUAAUCCCACUAUUCAAUAAUGUUUGAUUUUUGUAUUAAACAAAAUUGCAGGCAAUAUAUUUUUCCAAAUUUCAGCACAUUACAGUAACAAAUCACUCCAUUUCAGAGAAAAAAGCACAUUACACUUACUUCACACUGCAAUACAACUAAAUUGAUUAAAUAAUUCUAUUUAAAUUCUUGCACAGAUAUAAAGCAUACCUUGACUCCAAGAUGAUGCAAGAGGAUACCAGGCAGAUAACAUCCUUCUUUUCGAGCUCAGAUGCUAUAUAUGGUGAAACCCAUCACAAUCAGCGAGCCAUUACAGAAGCCAUCAUAUCUGAUUUGAUUUUUGACUGUGCUAUGCCAUUGUCAAUUAUUGAGAAUGACAGUUUUUGCCAUUCUUGUUGGUCCAUUCUUGGUCAAAUUGUUGCGAUGCAGCAAAACAUCAUCCAGUGUAGACUUGAGAAUUCAGCUUGGGUUUCGGCUACAAUUGAUAUUUGGUCAGAUCGACAAAUGAAAGGAUAUUUUGGUGUAACCCGCCACACCAUUGAAAUUGACAAGUUUGACAUCAGUUUGAGGUCAUACUUGCUUGCCUGUCACCGUUUCAAAGGGUCUCACACAGGUGAAAAGAUAAGUGAUGCCUUCGAGGCUGUAUGCGAUGAGUAUAAGAUCAAAAACAAAGUUAACUACAUCUUGUCAGAUACAGCAAGCAACAUGAGGAAGGCAUUCACUGUCUGCUUUCCACAAACAGAUAACUUGGAAGAGACAGAUGCUAGUGAGCCGAAUGAUCUAGAUGAUGGAAGUUUAUGGAAGGAGUUACCUGCAGAGGCACAGGAAGAUAUGGAUCUGGCUCUGACCAGAAACUCUAAUAGGCAACGACUUCUGUGCUUUGCAUAUACCCUCCAACUGGCAUUGUCAGAUGGAUUGAAAGAAACCAAGACUACAAACAUGGCCAUGAGUAAGGCUUCAAAACUAUAUACAUUGCUGUAUAGCAGUUGUACUUUCAAGGAGGCGUUUGAGAAGGAUUUUUGCUCAAAGGCAUCCCAGCACUUGUGCACACCAAAUGAAAUUCAACACUGAGGCAAGUCAGGGCAAUCACUAGUCUUGACUACCAAAAGCUGUGUUAAGUUAUUGGAAGACCAAGGGCACAGCGAAGUGAAGUUUAAAGCAAGGGAAUGGAGUCAACUGCAAGAAUUGGUAACAAUAUUGGACCCGUUCCCGGAAGCCACUAACUUGGCACAAGGAGAGCAUGUUGUCACCAUCUGUGUUGUUCUGCCUUGCAGCUUGUCACUCCGCCACCAUCUGCAGGACAUAUACGUGAAUGUUCGCUACAUGACUACCCUAGUCAGAGCCUUCAAAGACUCACUGUGGAAGCGAUUCAUUGGCAUCUUUGCUACUGUAGGAAUGGCAGAUUCCCAAGAAGUAAUCAGUGACCUGCCAUUUGGGGAUCCCAUGUACCUUACUGCAGCUGUACUGGACCCGGCGUUCUGUAUGAUGUGGAUUGAGGAAGACGGUCUGACGUCAGAAGAUGAAAAAGCCAACUUAAAGAAACUUGUCCUGGAUACUGUUAUUACCAGGGCUACUGAAGCCAGCAAAGUACCAGUGGAAACCAUUACUUCUUCUGCUAGUAGCGAGUAGGAGGAUGUUCCUCCACAGAAGGUUGCUUGACUUUUCGCAAGUUACGAGAGAAGCAGACGCAAGAGUAGCAGCACCAAUACGUCUAUAGCAGCCCAAUAUCACAGAUACAUAGAAGUGGCCUCCGAGUAUGGCGAUUGUGAGAGAGGUCCUUAUGCUUGUCUGAACUUCUGAUUGGCAAAUAAGACCAGCCUCUCCAAAUUUCCUCUUGUUAUCAGGGUGCUGUCUAUCCCUGCUACUAGUUCCCCCAUUGAAUGUGUGCUCAGUCAUAGUGGAAUAAUUAUGAGGCCAUACAGAGCAAAGAUGGGUGAUGCUAUGCUAUCAGAUCUUGUUUAUUUGAAGUGCAACAGUUUGUACAUGAAAAAAUAGAUGCAGCAAAAAAGUUUCAUUUCAGAAAAUGGACCUCAGGCUCAGUGAUUGAAUUCAGUAAAAUGAUUAGUUCCCAUCGAUUUCAGUUUUCAAAAAGACUGUCGAAACAAACUACAGUUUUCAAUCACCAAGUCUCUUGCAUAAAUAAUAGUUGAAUAAACUUUGAAAGGAACCUUACCUUUUAUGAAUAGGAAGUACACUUUUGUCAAUUUCAUGCUAGUUAGUCACACAGUCAUGUUAGGUAAACUAACUACAUGUAGCCUUACCCAUUGGUAGCACUUAGUAUACAUGAAACUUGAACAAUAAAAUGUAAAAAUACUACAUGUAAUCAGGCGAGUGAAGUCUUUUUAUUUCAUCUUUCAUUUCUAUUUCCACCAUGCAAAGUACAUUUAUUAAACUAAACAGAGGUCCAAAGUAAUGUAAUAAACUGCAAAAACAGAAAUAACAACACAAGUGAAAAAGGGGAAUUACAGAGGCAUUGUCAAAAUAAUUGGAGAAAAGGUGUUCAGCUGUCCAAAACUCAUAACUCCUAACUUAAUAUGUUGAUACCUGGUUCUUUUUGCUUAUUACAGCUGGACAAAAUAAUGUGCAGCUUGACUUGUACUUGGAAAAAGAGACU
Molecule: long non-coding RNA, 7819 nt
Organism: Acanthaster planci (crown-of-thorns starfish)
Lineage: Eukaryota; Metazoa; Echinodermata; Asteroidea; Valvatida; Acanthasteridae
Source: RefSeq, a predicted model, not a curated record